Molecule: long non-coding RNA, 304 nt
Filed under: Elaeis guineensis (African oil palm)
Lineage: Eukaryota; Viridiplantae; Streptophyta; Magnoliopsida; Arecales; Arecaceae
Description: long non-coding RNA (EGUI_LNC013423)
Source: RNAcentral
AAGUGGGAUCAUCACUUAUGUUUCAUAAACCAAAUUGAAUGACGAUUCUCCCAUUGGUACACGUGGAGUUUGAAGGAUUUUGUAAGCUAGAGAUUUACCUCCCAAAUGAUUUCUAUAAAUUUCUUCAUGAACUUCUCUGAGUGCAUAGUUAACAUCUGUCGAUCCCAAACACUUCAGUAAGGGAAUAGAGAACGACCUUUUGUAUAAUUGACCAUUCAUCAAAAUAUAUUGUGAGGCCGUCCAUCUGAGUCGUUUGACUUUUGAGGAAUCCAUAGGGAGAGUUUCAUUUGUCAAGUACUGGACC